RNAcentral lists this unclassified non-coding RNA (807 nucleotides) under Hevea brasiliensis (rubber tree). The record is from RNAcentral. Lineage: Eukaryota; Viridiplantae; Streptophyta; Magnoliopsida; Malpighiales; Euphorbiaceae.
CGGAUUGAAUGAAACUGCGAUUUCUCCUUGUCUAUGACCUGGUCAAUGAGUUUAAAGCCUGCUAGCACGUUUAACUUGCACGUUUAAAGUGAAGACUCGGGCAAAACUAUGAAGAUACAAUUAAUGCACUUUGAUCGAUUGAUCAUAGAUCAUCGUAUGUAGAAUGGUUAUACUUAAUAAUUUUCUUGUAGAAUGGCUUUGUCACUCAUUUGCCGUGAUCUAGAGAACUGCAUUACAUGGCCCUCACCUCUUCCAGGCGUUCAGGAAGGGCUUUUGCUUGCCAAAAGUAGCAAUUUGAUUCGCAGAUCAUGCAUAAAGAGAAAAGAUUCGACCAGCCAUGAUCUCAAUCUUAACAUUUCAACAAUGAAAACAUAGUUGGAGAGUGGUGACAAUAACAUUGCCCCUUUCUCCACCUCAGCUUUCAGCGGUACAAUAAAAAGAAGCUCAUAGAGCCAUAUUGGCCAUCGACCUACCAAGAGACGAAAGACUUUUUGGAAGCAGAUUGGCUGUCAUACUCAGCAUCCCAUUUCAAGGAAAAUACUGCUUGCUUGUGAAGGACGAGCAAUUUAAAAGUCUAUGUUUACACCUCCACUCCACCGUCCUUCUCAACUCACUAUUCACUUCCUAGCACUGGUCUUUUGAGCUUGUCUAUUUCUCUUCUUGACACCAGAUUUAGCAACCUUCAGACUCCUAUGCACAACACUUAACCUUGCAAGAGCUGCAUUCUUUAAAUCAGGUCUGUAAUAGUUAUCCCCAACCUGAUUUUUCACAGCCUUGGCCAUCCGGCGGAACUCCUUCUUCAUGACA